This 2522-nucleotide long non-coding RNA is filed under the name Takifugu rubripes (torafugu). RNAcentral's name for it is "lncRNA (ENSTRUG00000032101.1)". The record is from RNAcentral. Lineage: Eukaryota; Metazoa; Chordata; Actinopteri; Tetraodontiformes; Tetraodontidae.
CGGGGUGAAAAGAGCGAAGCAUCCUGCAGAGUCUCACAACGCUGGAGGAAAUGGGAGGGGUGACUCCGCGUUGGUUCGUCUCCGUGCUUCUCUGAUCAAACCGAGGCCAUGAGGACGACGCUGACGAGCCUUCUCGUUUCCAUCCAGCUCUUUGAAGCGUGUGCAGAGUUGAUCUUCAGGCAGCUGGCAGAGGGACAGUCCCUGCAGCUCUCUUGUCCACUCCGGGAGCAGCAGGGUCCACCCACAGGUCUACACCUUUACCACCGCGGCGGCCAGACGCAGACCACCCUGCUGUCUAUGGCGGAAGGGGCGGAGCCAAAGGUCAAUCCGCAGCACAGGGGGCGUCUGCAGCUCCACGGUGGGUUGCGCUCCCCGCAGGUCAACGUGAGCGUGUCGGACCUGCAGCGCGGGGAUACGGGCCUCUACGUGUGGGAGCUGAGCUCCAGGGAGAACAGCUCUGAGGAGGUCAGCGUCAGCGCUGCAAAGGUGCUGCUGCUGGUUGAAGGGAGGUGGUGCCCGUGCUCUCCCAGUUACCCUCCGCUCCUGCUGACUCUGUUCGUGGCCGCAGGGCUGCUACUGCUGGCGCUCUGCUGCCUUGCUCUGGACAACCGACUGAAGGUGAGGAAAUACCACCGACCGCAGCCUCCUGUCGCAAUUUACGAGGAAAUGACCAGCAAGAAGCAGCAGCAGCAGCAGGCCGGCGGGAUCCCCCCAAACCACCCUGAGGCCCCUCGGCACCUGGAGGAAGUCAACUUCCCUGUGUACGCCAACCCCAACAUCCGGCCGCCGCAGGACAACCACUACGCCUGUCCCAGAAGGCUGGCGUCCAACGCACACGGAAAAUGAAAAACCAGACGGUACAAUCUCAUCAGCCGAGGAAAAAAAACGCUAUUUUAUUAAUAUUUGAAAGAAGCUCCAUAGUUCAUGAAAACAUUUGUUUCGGUGCAUGUCAUGUAACAAUCACAUUCUAUGAGGAGAAAGAUAUAUAGAGAAAAAAAGAAAACAUCACAAGCCACUGACUUCAAUAAAUCUCAGUAAAGACAUUUUUAACUUAAUAUUAAAAAAAGGAAAAAAAAAAAAAAGCAGCCCGAAUCCCAACACCCCCCCUCCCCACAGAAAAAUAAGAACUGAGAAAACAGAACCCUUCAGGGUGACAGGCUCGAAUCCCACAGUGCUAAAGAGUGAGACGCUCAUUGGUUUGUAGGAAAACACAGCAUGGUGAUGUAGCGCAACCUCCGUCUAGAUCGGGGGGAGGAAGCUGGAGGAGAUCCACCUCUACGCCUCCUGUUAAAGGAAAAAAUCCAAAUCCCAGAAACCCCUGCAAGAGAUCAGCUGCCUCCCCCAUCUUCCACCCCGCCCCCCCUCAAAUCCUUGUGCAUAGUUUCAUGAUCCUUUACAACCAGCUCGGGUUUUUACACAAACAUCCUCUGAAUGUGAAAAAGAUUCCACAAAAGUCUGAUUUUUUUUGUGUGUUAUUGAUACCCGCUGUGGGAGGAUGAAAGAGAGAGAGAGAGAGAGAGAGAGAUACAGAGAGACAGUGAGAGAGUAAUGCACAACAUUCCUGAUUCAGUCAGGACGGGACCUCAUUAGAAACACAAUAAAGAUUCAAAACAUACAGCAUUUUGCAUGUUAUUCACGGUCUCUUUUUCAACAAUCAAAAUGAUUUUUUUUUAAUUUUUAAAUGUAAAGCAAUUUUAAUAUAUAGAUUUAUAUAUAAAGCACUCAUUUUUCAUUUAAAGUCCAUUAUUUGGUUAUUAUGUAACUGCUACGGAUUUAGAAACAAAAGGUAUUUUCUCUUCUUCCGAAAUCCAUAACUUUCAGUGCUUAGAAUGGUUUCCUUUACAUUUUUAUUCAUUUUUUAAUCAUCAUAAAAAUGUACAUUAAAAUGGCGUGGAGUUGGUACUCUGGAACCCUGGCCUUCCUGAGACGAGAUCCACUUUUUCGUGUGUGUGCAACAUAGUGAGCUUUUUUCUUUUCUUUUUUUUUUAAUAUAAAGGAAAAAAAAAAUUCUAUUUAAUCAACAAAACUUCAGAUAGUCCAUGAAAUCAACAUUGACACGGAACAAAGAAGGUCAAACGACAACAAGACAACACUGUUCGAUCCCAGAGUUCGUGAGAGUAGCACGAUAAAUCUUCAUUCUGUGAAGUCAGUUGUUGCACUUAGAGAUUGGAAGCAUUUGUCCUUUUUUUUUUUUUUUUUUAAACAUUCCCAUGGUUUAACUCGUUUGUGUUGCUGAUUUUUCUUCUGAACUCCAGAAAACAAAAGAAAAGGAAAUGUUGUAAACUGUCAGUGGCCUUGCAGAACAUAAAACCGACAUGAGUGAAGUGAAGGUAAAUGAUAAAGAACAGAAAGCUAACAAACCAAAAGAGUAGGCACCUCUGAAGCGAGCCCUACGAGCUGAGGCUCAGUCCCACGUCUCGCCUUCGCACUCUCCGCUGCUCAGAUUUGGGAGAGUUGAAGCCUUCUACCCCCAACCUAUGGCCACAGGUCUGCAAAAUACUUUUUUUUUUUUUUUUGCUGUA